RNAcentral lists this long non-coding RNA (1198 nucleotides) under Salmo salar (Atlantic salmon). RNAcentral describes it as "lncRNA (ENSSSAG00000101783.1, ENSSSAG00075016283.1)". The record is from RNAcentral. Lineage: Eukaryota; Metazoa; Chordata; Actinopteri; Salmoniformes; Salmonidae.
UGUGAGACCGCCCCUUGCAUGCUGCGAACCCAAACACACAAAACAUAAGUCGUGUGGGUCCUUAGCCGCCAUAGUGGAGCAGCGACACAGAGCUCUUAAAAGAGCUUUUGGGGGUAGAAAAGGCGUGCUCAUGAAGGACAAAGUCGAGACCAGGAAAUCAGCGGCGGGUUCGUCCUGAGUCUUCUCGCUUCUCUCUAGGCAUCUUCAGGCCAGUCCUGUAGCUGAAGAUAAUGGGAGGCUGAUUGAGGGGAAGCGUCCCCUUACAUAGGGACACCUGUACUCCUAUUGGCUGCAGAGCAUGAGGCGGCAACACGUCCACGCCAUCCCGGCCUCUGAGGGAUGGCGAUAGAACACCCAAAUAACACAUCUGUAACUGGAAACACUGGAUUAAAGAAUUGAGCUAAAGCAUUGAAUAGACCAGACCAGACAAAGUGUCUCGACAAAGAUUAAUUAUUAUUGAGCCCACCUCAGUACUACUCUCAUCCUACUCUCUGCAACAGUAUGCAAUGUAAUAUGGAUUAGGUGAUCGCAUCUGAGCCAAUGACAAUACAACUGAGGGUAUCCAAUUAACCUUUUUAGCCAAAUGAAGAUGAAUUAUAGACAAUGUGGUUAUAACAUACAAGGGAUACAGAGCCGUUAUGUAUGUGGCUGUUAUGAUGACUCAAGUAUCUGCAGAGCAGUAGGCACAGAAAUGGACAUCAGCACAGCAAUAUGGCACAGUUAUGGGGUACAGCAAUGUGCAUCUGCAUAACAAUGGGAACAUCAAUAGGGAACCGCAAUGGGCAUCCUUAGAACUGUGUUUUUCCAUAACUCUGACAUGAAAUUAAGAUAAAUUAAGACACAGACCAGAAACAACUUUGCUGCCCUGGAUCCAGAGGUUCCAGCGCCUUCGUCCUUGGUAGCUUCCCAAUCAAGAUCGGAACCGGAGUUACCAGCGUCUUCAUCCUCGGCUCUGUCUCUCUCUCCGGUGGCUUCUACCUCGGGUUCAGAUCCUCGGAGCUCCCAGACCAUGAGUCUGCCUGAGAGACAGGCCAAUUCAACAUCACCAGCUGUCAUCAUAGGCAGCUCUACGUGUGCGCCUGUUCACAAAUCUCUGCUCUCCUGCACCUGACUUCGCUACCAGUACGGACACACCUGACAGAAUCUUACACCAACUAUGGAGUCAGCAGGAGCAGGUACCCCAGUCAGAGGAGUCGAG